This 253-nucleotide ribosomal RNA is filed under the name uncultured bacterium. RNAcentral describes it as "partial 16S ribosomal RNA". It matches the Rfam family "Bacterial small subunit ribosomal RNA", at positions 524 to 776 of the family's 1533-position model. The record is from RNAcentral.
UACAGGGGGUGCAAACGUUGCUCGGAAUCAUUGGGCGUAAAGCGCGCGUAGGCGGUUGCUUAAGUCGGAUGUGAAAGCCCUCGGCUCAACUGAGGAAGAGCAUCCGAAACUGAGCAGCUUGAGUACGAAAGAGGGUCGCGGAAUUCCCGGUGUAGAGGUGAAAUUCGUAGAUAUCGGGAGGAACACCGGUGGCGAAGGCGGCGACCUGGGUCGAGACUGACGCUGAGGCGCGAAAGCGUGGGGAGCAAACAGG